This 433-nucleotide ribosomal RNA is filed under the name uncultured bacterium. Its description in RNAcentral is "partial 16S ribosomal RNA". It matches the Rfam family "Bacterial small subunit ribosomal RNA", at positions 29 to 507 of the family's 1533-position model. The record is from RNAcentral.
AACGAACGCUGGCGGCAUGCCUAACACAUGCAAGUCGAACGAGACCUUCGGGUCUAGUGGCGCACGGGUGCGUAACGCGUGGGAACCUGCCCUUAGGUUCGGAAUAACUCCCCGAAAGGGGUGCUAAUACCGGAUAAUGUCUUCGGACCAAAGAUUUAUCGCCUUUGGAUGGGCCCGCGUUGGAUUAGCUAGUUGGUAGGGUAAAAGGCGACCAAGGCGACGAUCAAUAGCUGGUCUGAGAGGAUGAUUAGCCACACUGCGACGGAGACACGGCCCAGACUCCUACGCGAGGCAGCAGUGGGGAAUAUUGGACCAUGGGCGAAAGCCUGAUCCUGCUAUGCCGCGUGAGUGAUGAAGGCCUUAGGGUUGUAAAGCUCUUUUACCCGGGAUGAUAAUGACAGUACCGGGAGAAUAAGCUCCGGCUAACUCCGUG